ACGUAGGGUGCAAGCGUUAAUCGGAAUUACUGGGCGUAAAGUGUGCGCAGGCGGUUUUGUAAGACAGAGGUGAAAUCCCCGGGCUCAACCUGGGAACUGCCUUUGUGACUGCAAGGCUGGAGUGCGGCAGAGGGGGAUGGAAUUCCGCGUGUAGCAGUGAAAUGCGUAGAGAUGUGGAGGAAUACCGAUGGCGAAGGCAGCCCCCUGGGAUGAUACUGACGCUCAUGCACGAAAGCGUGGGGAGCAAACAGGA
Molecule: ribosomal RNA, 253 nt
Filed under: uncultured prokaryote
Description: partial 16S ribosomal RNA
Rfam family: Bacterial small subunit ribosomal RNA
Source: RNAcentral